This 253-nucleotide ribosomal RNA is filed under the name uncultured prokaryote. RNAcentral's name for it is "partial 16S ribosomal RNA". It matches the Rfam family "Bacterial small subunit ribosomal RNA", at positions 524 to 776 of the family's 1533-position model. The record is from RNAcentral. RNAcentral also lists the same sequence under 1 other name.
UACGUAGGUGGCAAGCGUUGUCCGGAAUUACUGGGCGUAAAGAGCGCGUAGGCGGGGAUUUAAGUCAGGAGUGAAAACUGGCGGCUCAACUGCCAGCCUGCUCUUGAAACUGGAUCUCUUGAGGGUAUGAGAGGAAAGCGGAAUUCCCAGUGUAGCGGUGAAAUGCGUAGAUAUUGGGAGGAACACCAGUGGCGAAGGCGGCUUUCUGGCAUACAACUGACGCUGAGGCGCGAAAGCGUGGGGAGCAAACGGG